GUACCGGAGGCUUGAUUGAACCGCAGGUUCAAUCAUAAAAGGUGGCUUUUAGCUACCACUUGCAGAUGGACCCGCGGCGCAUUAGCUAGUUGGUGAGGUAACGGCUCACCAAGGCGACGAUGCGUAGCCGACCUGAGAGGGUGAUCGGCCACACUGGGACUGAGACACGGCCCAGACUCCUACGGGAGGCAGCAGUAGGGAAUCUUCCGCAAUGGACGAAAGUCUGACGGAGCAACGCCGCGUGAGUGAUGAAGGUUUUCGGAUCGUAAAACUCUGUUGUUAGGGAAGAACAAGUACCGUUCGAAUAGGGCGGCACCUUGACGGUACCUAAGGGGAAGGCCACGGCUAACUACGUGCCAGCAGCCGCGGUAAUACGUAGGUGGCAAGCGUUGUCCGGAAUUAUUGGGCGUAAAGCGCGCGCAGGCGGUUUCUUAAGUCUGAUGUGAAAGCCCCCGGCUCAACCGGGGAGGGUCAUUGGAAACUGGGGAACUUGAGUGCAGAAGAGGAGAGUGGAAUUCCACGUGUAGCGGGUGAAAUGCGUAGAGAUGUGGAGGAACACCAGUGGCGAAGGCGACUCUCUGGUCUGUAACUGACGCUGAGGCGCGAAAGCGUGGGGGAGCGAACAGGAUUAGAUACCCUGGUAGUCCACGCCGUAAACGAUGAGUGCUAAGUGUUAGAGGGUUUCCGCCCUUUAGUGCUGCAGCAAACGCAUUAAGCACUCCGCCUGGGGAGUACGGGUCGCGAAGACUGAAACUCAAAGGAAUUGACGGGGGCCCGCACAAGCGGUGGAGCAUGUGGUUUAAUUCGAAGCAACGCGAAGAACCUUACCAGGUCUUGACAUCCUCUGACAACCCUAGACACAGGGCUUCCCCUUCGGGGGCAGAGUGACAGGUGGUGCAUGGUUGUCGUCAGCUCGUGUCGUGAGAUGUUGGGUUAAGUCCCGCAACGAGCGCAACCCUUGAUCUUAGUUGCCAGCAUUCAGUUGGGCACUCUAAGGUGACUGCCGGUGACAAACCGGAGGAAGGUGGGGAUGACGUCAAAUCAUCAUGCCCCUUAUGACCUGGGCUACACACGUGCUACAAUGGGCAGAACAAAGGGCAGCGAAGCCGCGAGGCUAAGCCAAUCCCACAAAUCUGUUCUCAGUUCGGAUCGCAGUGUGCAACUCG
This 1166-nucleotide ribosomal RNA is filed under the name Bacillus licheniformis. RNAcentral's name for it is "bacterial SSU rRNA". It matches the Rfam family "Bacterial small subunit ribosomal RNA", at positions 166 to 1314 of the family's 1533-position model. Lineage: Bacteria; Bacillati; Bacillota; Bacilli; Caryophanales; Bacillaceae. The record is from RNAcentral.